GGCAGUGUUGGAUUUUUGAUCCUAUGAAGCUGAAAUGAUUUAAUUCGAAGUAGGGGCCUGGAAACGAGUUUAUUGUUUGAUCAGUUGCCGUUCUAACAAUUGAACAAUAUACAAUAGUAUUUCCAAGUCAAAGCACUUCGAUUUUUCAGACUCUGAUUGUGUACGUGCAAGUUAUCUGAACCCUCAAGCUCCAGAACGAGACGGAGAACACAAAGGCCUGCGCGAAGGUAGCAUUAGCGCAGACUGGAGUGAACCUGGAGUAUCAGUUCAGCUCAGGCACCUUGGCAGAAUGUACCCAAUGUAUCCAGAGAGGCACAGUCACCAGAGGGAGUAUGGAGAACCAGAGAUAUGCAGUCAGAGGAGGGAGUAUGAAGAACCAGAGAGAUGCAGUCAGAGGAGGGAGUAUGAAGAACCAGAGAGAUGUAGUCAGAGGAGGGAGUAUGAAGAACCAGAGAGAUGCAGUCAGAGGAGGGAGUAUGAAGAACCAGAGAGAUGCAGUCAGAGGAGGGAGUAUGAAGAACCAGAGAGAUGUAGUCAGAGGAGGGAGUAUGAAGAACCAGAGAGAUGCAGUCAGAGGAGGGAGUAUGAAGAACCAGAGAGAUGUAGUCAGAGGAGGGAGUAUGAAGAACCAGAGAGAUGCAGUCAGAGGAGGGAGUAUGAAGAACCAGAGACAUGCAGUCAGUGGAUGGUGUAUGAAGAACCAGAGACAUGCAGUCAGUGGAGGGUGUAUGAAGAACCAGAGACAUGCAGUCAGAGGAGGGAGUAUGGAGAACCGAGCUCAGGGCAAUGGGAUGAUGACCUUGAGACGAGAGACAACGGCCAGGCUAUGGCCAGAGAGCCCUACAGUGAAUACUCCAGCAUGAGGAGGACUAGAGAAGGUUGGGAGGAGUAUGGUACUUCCUCUGAUAUGAGCUACAUCAUGGACCCAUCUUCUGGAGACUGGAGCGAGGACUCAUUGAGGGGUAGCGGUGCUCCCUUCUCCCCAGACACAGAUGGUGACGUUGAUGGAGAUCCUGUGGAGCUCAGUGUGGAGGACCGGGAGCUCCUUCGUAAGAGGAUGGAGCUGGAGAUCAUAGAGGAACAGAUUGCCCGCAAAAAAGCUGCUCUUGCUAUGGAAUUGGUUGGACCUGAAUCAAAGGCCAUUCGUAAACAGAAGACGAAGGACAAGGACCUUGAGAUGUUAACAGAAAAUGUUUCCAAUAAGGAUGUUACUCUUAAAGAGAGGGUGAAUAGCAUUUUGAGAAAGCGGGCAUGGACCAAUGAAUGUCGCUCAAAGGAGGCUGCCAACCAGCAGGUCCCUCCCAAGCUUGUUCUCUAUCCGCCCAAAGUGGUCAAAAGCUUUGUGGAGAGGAUGAACGAAUCCAUCCUGCACAAAGACAGCAUAAUGAAGGGCAACCUUACCCUGGACGUCCAUGAAGAGGAGCAUCCUCUGAAACUCAAAGUGGAGGCUUUAUUGGAGCAGCGACGCAAUCCCACGGUGAAUAAGGAGGACAAAGCAGCCAAGGGCUUCCAGUACUUCCUCAAUGUCCUCAACAAAGGGGUGGACAUCGACAGGCUCUCAAAGAUUGUCAACAAUUUCAAGGAUUUACCCUCUAUGGGAGAGGAGCUGCCACAAGGUCAGCCGCCUCCACUUGAUGGCCAGCCCGAGACCACCUCUAAGAGUCAGAGGAAGGUGCCCUCUCGCAAAAGGCGCUCCCGGUUUGAUGAGCUCCCGCCAAGUUGGUUCAAUAUACUCUCGGGUCAGCCCACACUACUCGGGGUUCAGCCCAAUCCGCUUGGGGAUCUGUUGCGUGAAGUGGUCCCAGCAGGUUGCGUUCUGCCACAGGACCGCAGUCUCUUACAAAGUGGAGGAAGAGAGAUUGGGCAACAUAGCCUUAGCUUGGGCUUCAUCCAGGCUAUGGAUGGCCCAAAAAACAAAAAGCCCAAAUCUACACAGGUGGAGGAGAAGAUGAAAGGGAGGUAUAUGUCCAAGUCUCCACCUGUUGAGGAGAAGAGGAAAGGGAGGCAUAAGUCCAAGUCUCCACCUGUUGAGGAGAAGAGGAAAGGGAGGCAUAAGUCCAAGUCUCCACCUGUUGAGGAGAAGAGGAAAGGGAGGCAUAAGUCCAAGUCUCCACCUGUUGAGGAGAAGAGGAAAGGGAGGCAUAAGUCCAAGUCUCCACCUGUUGAGGAGAAGAGGAAAGAGAGGCAUAAGUCCAUGUCUCCACAGCUGGAGGAGAAAAGGAAAAUGAGGCCUGAGGAUGAGGAUGAGCAGAAGUACGGACUGAUCCAGAGCCUGCUGCAGCCUAUUGGGAUGGAUCUGGGGGUGGAGGAGUUGGGCCAACUGAACGACAGGAUCCAGGAGAGGCUGUAUGGGAAGAAGAGAGACCUGGAGAAGAAGGGGGGCAAGAAAGAAAGCGUGUGGGGGGUUGAGAAAGAGGAGAGCAAGAAGGACAAAGAGGAGAGCAAGAAGGACAAAGAGGAGAGCAAGAAGGACAAAGAGGAGAGCAAGAAGGACAAAGAGGUGAGCGAGAAGGACAAAGAGGUGAGCGAGAAGGACAAAGAGGUGAGCGAGAAGGACAAAGAGGUGAGCGAGAAGGACAAAGAGGAGAGCGAGAAGGACAAAGAGGAGAGCGAGAAGGACAAAGAGGAGAGCGAGAAAGACAAACAGAAGGAGGAAGAGGAGAGCGAGAAAGAUAAGGAGGAAGAGGAGAGCGAGAAAGAUGAGGAGGAAGAGGAGAGCGAGAAAGAUAAACAGAAGGAGGAAGAGGAGAGCGAGAAAGAUAAACAGAAGGAGAAAGAGGAGAGCGAGAAAGGGAAAGAUAAAGAGGAGAGAGCAUGCUCAAGUAAAUGUCACAGUAUUUCCUUGUUAUCAGAUAGCUCCAACUCCAGCCCCCCUUGCCAUCGGUGGACGACAGAAUACAAACGCUCUAGCACCAGAGACCAGGACAGAGAGAGAGACGGCGGCAGAUCUGAGAAAAACAGAGAGAGAUACAAGGGCAGAUCUAAGAGAGACAGAGACAGACGCUCUAGCACCAGAGACCAGGACAGAGAGAGAGACAGGGGCAGAUCUGAGAGAGACAGAGACAGACGCUCUAGCACCAGAGACCAGGACAGAGAGAGAGACAGGGGCAGAUCUAAGAGAGACAGAGACAGACGCUCUAGCACCAGAGACCAGGACAGAGAGAGAGACGGGGGCAGAUCUGAGAGAGACAGACGCUCUAGCACCAGAGACCAGGACAGAGAGAGAGACGGGGGCAGAUCUAAGAGAGACAGAGACAGACGCUCUAGCACCAGAGACCAGGACAGAGACAGAGACUGGGGCAGAUCUGAGAGAUACGGGGGCAGAUCUGAGAGAGACAGAGACAGACGCUCUAGCGCCAGAGACCAGGACCGAGAGAGAGACGGGGGCAGAUCUGAGCGAAACCGAGAGAGAGACAGACACUCUAGUACCAGAGAGCUGGAUAGAUAUAGAUGGUGGGAGACAGAAAGGAAAAUAUGCCCUAGUACUAGAGACGGGGACAGAGAGUGGGACAGGAGCAGAUCUGAGAGAGACAGAAACAUACUAUCUAGUACCAGAGACGGAUCAGAGAAAGAUGGUGAUGGAGACAGAUCUGAGAGAGACAAGGACAGAGAGAGAUGGUGGGAGCGAGACAAAGACUGGGAAGGGGACAAGGAAAGCUUCCUGGGGCUUUACCCGUACUCCAACGAUCCUACACACCCUCAUGCAUCUUUGAUGGCAACCGACUCAGUGCAGUACUCUCAGUACAUGGCAUACCACAGCAGCCAAUACGCCAGCGCCUUCCCUCCAGGGUGUGGCUUUCCCCCUGGUACCGUGUUCCCUGGUACCGUGCCCCCUGGUACCAUGCCCCCUGGUACAGUGCCCCUGCCCCACUGUACCAGUGCCCCUGGUACAGUGCCCCCGUGCCCCCUGGUACAGUGCCCCCCCUAUCCACUGUACCCCAACUGCCCACCUUAUUACUAUAAUGGCACUUCAGAAACGUUUUUCCAGGCAUACACACAGGCCACUGGAAACCCCCAGUUCACAAACAUGGAUGUACAAGUGCAGGACCCAGACCCAUCCCUGAACAUCCCUGAACAGGACAUAGAGACUGUGUGGCCCAGACUUGUCCAUCCCAGCAUAAACCAAGACUCAAAGCCUGCCAGACUAAACCAGUUGAGUAUAAAAAUGCAACUAAAGAGGCAACGCUAUAGGAUUAAUUUGAGGAAUCGCAAUAAUCUACAAGAAUUGAGACAGCUUAAAGAAACUCCUCGGGUGGCUGCCAAGGAGCCCCCCUCUGAGCCAGGUACAAAGAAAGUGCCAGAAGGAGAUGCAGUCAUAGAAGGUGAGAGACGGCAUUUAGUGGUCCCUCCGGUGGCUACAAAUGAUUCUGGGGCACCCUCUAGAACAGGAUUCCCAAAUAGAAAAUGGAGAAAAGGGAAAACACUGGAAGAAAAAGGAUGUAUAUUCAACCAAGGUUUAUCCAUGAGAAACAGAGCCUAUAUGACAAAGUGGAAACUGCGUUUGGCAGAAGCAGUUGCAAAAGGCCUUGAGGUCCCCUCUGAACCAGAGCCCAAGACGGAGCCAGAAGCGGAGGACAAAUCAUUGACAGAAUGGCAGAGACUGUUUGCAGACUCUGUGGCGAAUGUGGCUGCAACGGACCUAUUUGCCCUCUCUGAACCAGAGGCUGAGAAAAAGCCUGACUGGGAGAUCGAGCAGAAAAAGACAGACGAAGAGAUGAAGGAGAAAUUAAAGAAAAAGCUUGGCGAGUUCAACCUGAAGAUGAAGCAGAAAUCAACGCAUUUAAAAGAAGCCCAACAGAAGCCCCAACAUAACCUGAAAGGGCGGCUGUUGUAGGUAAAACAGCUUGAAAUACAACAUCUGUUUCAUGUCAAUGAAUGUGUGUUCAUAUCACACCUUAAAAAUGCGUCAUGAGCUCAUCUCCCCUUCGAACCUGCUGCUGACCCAUCCAGACCCUGUGGACAUCCGUUGGCUAACAUUCUCUUUAUCUAAUAUACACUAACCGGACAGUUUAUUAGGUACACACCGGGUCGGAUCCUCCUUUUCCUCCAGAACAGCCAGAAUUUUUCGGGGCAUUCUACAAGUUGUCUGAAACGUUCCACAGGGAUGCUGGUUCAUGCUGAUGUGAUGGCAUCACGCAGUUGCUGCAGAUUGAACGGCAAUACAUUCAUGCUGCGAACAGCCCAUUCCAUCUCAUCCCAAAGAUGCUGUACUGGGUUGAGGUCUGAGGACUGAGCAGGCCACUCAAGUAAACUGAACUUUCUGUCAUGCUCCAGGCGAUGUUUUUCCACUCCUUGAUUGUCCAUUGUUGAUGAUCAUGUUCCCACUGGAGCCGCUGCUUCUUGUUUUUAGCUGAUAGGAGUGGAACCCGGUGUGGUUGUCUGCAGCAAUAGCCAAUCCCCGACAAGGAUCGACAAGUUGUGCGUUCUGAGAUGCUGUUCGGCACACCACUGUUGUACUGCGUCAUUAUUUGUCUGUUUGUGGCCCGCCUGUUGGCUUGCACGAUUCUUGCCAUUCUCUUUUGACCUCUCAUCAACGAGUUGUUUUCGCCAACAGGACUGCCGCAGAAUGGAUGUUUUUUUGUUUGUCGCACCAUUCACGGUAAACUCUAGACACUGUUGUGCCUGAAAAGCCCAGGAAGGUGGCCAUUUCUGAGAACAGGAGUGUCUGGCACCGACGAUCAUAACAUGCUUAAAGUCACUUACGUCAGUUGUUUUGUCCAUUCUAACGUUCAAUGGAACAGUAACUGAAUGCCUCAAUCCCUGUCUCCCUGCUUUAUAUAGCAAGUCACGGCCACGUGACUCACUGUCUGUAAGAGCGAUCCAUUUUCGUAAAUGGGGUGGUGUACCAAAUAAACUGGCCGAUGAGUGA
Molecule: RNA transcript, 5869 nt
Organism: Salmo salar (Atlantic salmon)
Lineage: Eukaryota; Metazoa; Chordata; Actinopteri; Salmoniformes; Salmonidae
Source: RefSeq, a predicted model, not a curated record